CCCUUAGAGUUUGAUCCUGGCUCAGGAUGAACGCUGGCGGCGUGCUUAACACAUGCAAGUCGAGCGAAGCGAUUUAAAUGAGACUUCGGUGGAUUUUAAAUUGACUGAGCGGCGGACGGGUGAGUAACGCGUGGAUAACCUGCCUCACACAGGGGGAUAACAGUUAGAAAUGACUGCUAAUACCGCAUAAGCGCACGGUACUGCAUGGUACAGUGUGAAAAACUCCGGUGGUGUGAGAUGGAUCCGCGUCUGAUUAGGUAGUUGGUGAGGUAACGGCCCACCAAGCCGACGAUCAGUAGCCGACCUGAGAGGGUGACCGGCCACAUUGGGACUGAGACACGGCCCAAACUCCUACGGGAGGCAGCAGUGGGGAAUAUUGCACAAUGGGCGAAAGCCUGAUGCAGCAACGCCGCGUGAGUGAAGAAGUAUCUCGGUAUGUAAAGCUCUAUCAGCAGGGAAGAAAA
RNAcentral lists this ribosomal RNA (464 nucleotides) under uncultured bacterium. Its description in RNAcentral is "bacterial SSU rRNA". It matches the Rfam family "Bacterial small subunit ribosomal RNA", at positions 1 to 451 of the family's 1533-position model. The record is from RNAcentral.